This 434-nucleotide ribosomal RNA is filed under the name uncultured bacterium. Its description in RNAcentral is "partial 16S ribosomal RNA". It matches the Rfam family "Bacterial small subunit ribosomal RNA", at positions 29 to 507 of the family's 1533-position model. The record is from RNAcentral.
AGCGAACGCUGGCGGCAGGCCUAACACAUGCAAGUCGAACGAACCUUUCGGGGUUAGUGGCGGACGGGUGAGUAACACGUGGGAACGUGCCUUUAGGUUCGGAAUAACUCAGGGAAACUUGUGCUAAUACCGAAUGUGCCCUUCGGGGGAAAGAUUAAUCGCCUUUAGAGCGGCCCGCGUCUGAUUAGCUAGUUGGUUGAGGUAAUGGCUCACCAAGGCGACGAUCAGUAGCUGGUCUGAGAGGAUGAUCAGCCACAUUGGGACUGAGACACGGCCCAAACUCCUACGGGAGGCAGCAGUGGGGAAUCUUGCGCAAUGGGCGAAAGCCUGACGCAGCCAUGCCGCGUGAAUGAUGAAGGUCUUAGGAUUGUAAAAUUCUUUCACCGGGGACGAUAAUGACGGUACCCGGAGAAGAAGCCCCGUCUAACUUCGUG